Molecule: ribosomal RNA, 200 nt
Filed under: uncultured bacterium
Lineage: Bacteria
Description: partial 16S ribosomal RNA
Rfam family: Bacterial small subunit ribosomal RNA
Source: RNAcentral
UACGGAGGGUGCAAGCGUUAAUCGGAAUUACUGGGCGUAAAGAGUACGUAGGCGGCUAUUUAAGUCGGAUGUGAAAGCCCUGGGCUCAACCUGGGAACUGCAUCCGAUACUGGAUAGCUAGAGUUUGUGAGAGGUAGUGGAUUCCAGGUGAUAGCGGUGAAAUGCGUAGAUAUCUGGAGGAACAUCAGUGGCGAAGGCGA